RNAcentral lists this transfer RNA (74 nucleotides) under Arcanobacterium haemolyticum. RNAcentral describes it as "tRNA-Arg(tct)". It matches the Rfam family "tRNA". Rfam says of the family: Transfer RNA (tRNA) molecules are approximately 80 nucleotides in length. Their secondary structure includes four short double-helical elements and three loops (D, anti-codon, and T loops). Lineage: Bacteria; Bacillati; Actinomycetota; Actinomycetes; Actinomycetales; Actinomycetaceae. The record is from RNAcentral.
GCCUCGAUAGCUCAAUGGAUAGAGCAACAGACUUCUAAUCUGUAGGUUGCGGGUUCGAGUCCCGCUCGGGGUAC